UACGUAGGGUGCGAGCGUUGUCCGGAAUUAUUGGGCGUAAAGAGCUCGUAGGCGGUCUGUCGCGUCUGCCGUGAAAGUCCGGGGCUCAACUCCGGAUCUGCGGUGGGUACGGGCAGACUAGAGUGAUGUAGGGGAGACUGGAAUUCCUGGUGUAGCGGUGGAAUGCGCAGAUAUCAGGAGGAACACCGGUGGCGAAGGCGGGUCUCUGGGCAGUUGCUGACACUGAGGCGCGACAGCGUGGGGAGCAAACAGG
Molecule: ribosomal RNA, 253 nt
Filed under: uncultured bacterium
Lineage: Bacteria
Description: partial 16S ribosomal RNA
Rfam family: Bacterial small subunit ribosomal RNA
Source: RNAcentral